CUCCUUUUUCUAAUCAGUGAAACUAAUCUUCNNNNNAAGAAGCGGGAAUAUCCCCAUAAGACGAGAAGACCCCAUGGAGCUUCAAACCCAAUUACACCCCUAACCCCUAUAACUACUUAACCCUUAGGAUUCUGUAUUAUUGGUUUUAGGUUGGGGCGACCACGGAGUACAACAAAACCUCCACAAUGAACGGAACUACUUCCUCAUCUGAGAGCUACAUCUCUAAGAAUUAAAAUAUUAACAUAAAAUGAUCCAUUUUUGAUCAAUGAACCAAGUUACCCUGGGGAUAACAGCGCAAUCCAUUUCAAGAGCCCCUAUCGACAAAUGGG
RNAcentral lists this ribosomal RNA (329 nucleotides) under Mantidactylus katae. Its description in RNAcentral is "partial 16S ribosomal RNA". It matches the Rfam family "Archaeal large subunit ribosomal RNA", at positions 2097 to 2585 of the family's 2987-position model. The record is from RNAcentral. Lineage: Eukaryota; Metazoa; Chordata; Amphibia; Anura; Mantellidae.